Molecule: long non-coding RNA, 1107 nt
Filed under: Vigna radiata
Lineage: Eukaryota; Viridiplantae; Streptophyta; Magnoliopsida; Fabales; Fabaceae
Description: long non-coding RNA (VRAD_LNC000522)
Source: RNAcentral
GCCAAGUGAGAAAAUCUGCAACUGGAUGCAUAGUUAUCAGCAUUUCAUUGAGACAUUUGGUCGAACACUUUUGGUCUAAAUCAUAAUUGAAUUGAAUUGGAUAUCAUUGCAACUUAUCUUUGUUUCUUGCUUUCUAAAUCUGAUCUAGAACCAUUCCUAAGUUCCUUUUGAAGUGCUACCUAUUCUUGAUAUCGUUUAAUUUCUUGAUUUUUGGUUUGUUUGGAACUCUGCACACCAACUGUUUGUGACAAUUACAGUUGGUGUGUUCUGAUAGCUCUUGUUGAAGCAGUAUAAUCUACCAAUUUCGUCAUUAACACCUGCUGUUUGUGGAACCGUGUGAAUGCUUUUGUGGUUGCAGAUCAGUUCCAGUUGGUUUAUAGUCUUGGUAGCACCUUAGGAAGAGGUUUGGGUGAGUGAAAAAAAUUAAAGGAAGAGGCAAACCGUGAGAUCUAAAGCUGCAGAAAAUUGUUGUUGUUCUGCAUAAUUGGCUGUAACAGCCACUGUUUCAGAUUUGAUACAUAUCCAGAAUUGAAAUCUUCACUCUCCGCAACUGUGAGAAUUGUGGCUGCACCAAUUUAAUUGCAGCUUUCCUUGAGAGAAGCCAAAGUUGUACUUGCCAUUCCCUUUCCAUUGUUGAAAUUACUAGUUGUAACUUGUUUUCUUUCUUUCUUUCAAUUCUUGUAAUUUGGCCAUUUCAAGCAAGUGAAGUGGAAGAGCUCAUAAGUGUUCUUUCCUCAUUUGCUAACUUGACUAAAAGUCUCUCCCACUUUAAAAUUAGUAGACGGUGAGUGUGUCUUAGAUCCAAAGUCUAAGCCUCACCUAGGAGACCUCAUCUUUACUUUCUUCUUCAUUUCAAGUUUCCAUAUCCUUCCAUUAUUUUUUUUAAGUUUCAAGUUUCGCCUAGGAAGCUCUUAGAGUCCGAAUUAGAGUCUAGGUUUUAUUUCUUUGCUUGCUUGUUGUCUUUAAGACUUGUGGUGGAUUUAAAAGUGAUUUUGACUUAAAGACUUUUGUAAGUAGCUAGAAGCAUAUUUGGCAAGGCAAGACUUGGUACUUAAGCAACCUUUUUAGGUUCACCUCUCUUACAUGGAAUAUUGCUUUCAAGUGAAA